CCUACGGGAGGCAGCAGUCGGGAAUCUUGGGCAAUGGGCGCAAGCCUGACCCAGCAACGCCGCGUGAAGGAUGAAGUAUUUCGGUAUGUAAACUUCGAAAGAAUAGGAAGAAUUAAUGACGGUACUAUUUAUAAGGUCCGGCUAACUACGUGCCAGCAGCCGCGGUAAUACGUAGGGACCAAGCGUUGUUCGGAUUUACUGGGCGUGAAGAGCGCGUAGGCGGUUUGGCAAGUCUGGUGUGAAAUCUCACGGCUCAACCGGGAGGCUGCACUGGAUACUGCCGAACUGGAGCACGGUAGAGGGGAUCAGAAUUCCUGGUGUAGCGGUGGAAUGCAUUGAUAUCAGGAGGAAUACCAGUGGCGAAGGCGGAUCCCUGGGCCGUUGCUGACGCUGAGGCGCGAAAGCUGGGGGAGCGAAAGGGAUUAGAUACCCCUGUAGUCCCAGCCCUAAACGAUGGGCGCUAGGUGUCGGCGGUUCAUCCGUCGGUGCCGCAGCUAACGCAUUAAGCGCCCCGCCUGGGGAGUACGGCCGCAAGGUUGAAACUCAAAGGAAUUGACGGGG
RNAcentral lists this ribosomal RNA (561 nucleotides) under uncultured bacterium. RNAcentral describes it as "bacterial SSU rRNA". It matches the Rfam family "Bacterial small subunit ribosomal RNA", at positions 338 to 918 of the family's 1533-position model. The record is from RNAcentral.